UACGUAGGGGGUUAGCGUUGUCCGGAAUCAUUGGGCGUAAAGAGCGUGUAGGCGGCCCGGUAAGUCCGCUGUAAAAGUCAAAGGCUCAACCUUUGAAUGUCAGUGGAUACUGCCGGGCUAGAGUCCGGAAGAGGCGAGUGGAACUCCUGGUGUAGCGGUGGAAUGCGCAGAUAUCAGGAAGAACACCAACGGCGAAGGCAGCUCGCUGGGACGGUACUGACGCUGAGACGCGAAAGCGUGGGGAGCGAACAGG
RNAcentral lists this ribosomal RNA (253 nucleotides) under uncultured bacterium. RNAcentral describes it as "partial 16S ribosomal RNA". It matches the Rfam family "Bacterial small subunit ribosomal RNA", at positions 524 to 776 of the family's 1533-position model. The record is from RNAcentral.